Molecule: unclassified non-coding RNA, 263 nt
Filed under: plant metagenome
Description: partial contains small subunit ribosomal RNA, internal transcribed spacer 1, and 5.8S ribosomal RNA
Source: RNAcentral
UUUCCGUAGGUGAACCUGCGGAAGGAUCAUUAUUGUAUACCCGAGGUGCGAGGGCUGUCGCUGAUACGAAAGGUCGUGCACGCCCUUGAGCCCUCGCACCCAUCCCUCUCCCCCCUUUUUGCCCCCCCGCGGGGGUCACCCUUUGGCUUGUUCGGAGGGGGUCUUACGAUUUCACACAUACUUUGUAUGCAGUGUAUAAUGUAUUUUUUGUUUUUGCGAUCACGCAUUAAAUACAACUUUCAACAACGGAUCUCUUGGCUCUC